AACGAGGCCGACCUGCGGCUGAGUUACCUGCGGAAGGAUCAUUAUCGAGUUUGAAAGUAAGAGGAAGAGUGCGGUUUGAUGCUGGCGUGAAAGCGCACUGUGCACGGCCGCUUCUCUUUUUCUUACGCUCAAUCCACUUAACCCCAUGUGCACCCACGAGGAGCUAGUAGUCGGCGUUGUUAGUCUGUUCGCGUGAAGUAGCCUUGAUUCAUUAAGGCGAAAGCUUACGGGCGUUUAGUC
This 240-nucleotide unclassified non-coding RNA is filed under the name soil metagenome. RNAcentral describes it as "partial contains 5.8S ribosomal RNA, internal transcribed spacer 2, and large subunit ribosomal RNA". The record is from RNAcentral.